GUCGUAUCCACGAGGGUCCACCUGGGGACGUCCAGAUCGCCCCCUGGGGGCCAGAAGGGAUGUGACCUAUGGCUGCCAAAUCCCAGAGAAGCAAAGGGCAGCAGUGGUUUUAUCCAGAAGGGAUGGCGCCCCAGGCCCCUACCGCAACCCAGUUCCAGUGAACUCUUCCCCUUUGUAAGUUUCCUCCAGUCCUGCCUCCAGGCUAGUGUGUGGGCUGAUCACAAGGACCGUGAGCCAAGUCUACCAUAUGCCCUCUGCAGAUGUCAGCUGUCACUAUUCCAUUCUUGACGGGAGGGGGGGGGGGAUUCCUUGCAGGGCCGAGAGCAAGGAUACUCCUACAGGUCCCAGGAGCUGCCCAUGCCAUCCUUCCAAGACCAGCUGAAGCCCUCCUCCUCCAGGAAGCCCUUCCUGACCACCCCAGCCCCUCGAAGGCCCCAGAGACGUCAGAAAACAGGCAUGCUGUCUCCAAACCUCCAAAGGACACCCACACCCGCUCUCGGCCUGAUCUUCAGUGUUUACUUUUGGAGAGCUGGCCUCGUGGUCAGGGGUGGGGUAUGGGCUUUGGUUCUGCUCCUGGACUCCGAAGUCCCCAAGCCCCCUCCUGCUCCGCAUCUCUUGACAUCCGCACAGCGACCUCCAGCCUCAUCCAGGGAGGCCUGGGCCUGUAAAACUGUCCUUCUCCUCCCUCGCGAGGACACGGAGGCUCGCUGAGGUUAAGACACACGUCCGAGGGGUACCCCGCCACGGAGGCGCCAGAUGGGGAAGACCGAGGCAGAAGCCACCGACAUUCAUGAGUACGCCUCCUCGUAGCCCGCAAGGGAUUUUCGUGUAAUCGAUAAGCGCCCAGAGAGGACCCAGCUUUGACCCAAAGGAAGUAUUUUUUGAAUGAAAUGUGCCCUGUGG
Long non-coding RNA from Herpailurus yagouaroundi (jaguarundi), 903 nucleotides. RefSeq lists it as uncharacterized. The transcript has 2 exons. The record is from RefSeq and is a predicted model, not a curated record. Lineage: Eukaryota; Metazoa; Chordata; Mammalia; Carnivora; Felidae.